Molecule: ribosomal RNA, 769 nt
Filed under: uncultured bacterium
Lineage: Bacteria
Description: bacterial SSU rRNA
Rfam family: Bacterial small subunit ribosomal RNA
Source: RNAcentral
GACGAACGCUGGCGGCGUGCCUAAUACAUGCAAGUCGAGCGAAGUUUUUCUGGUGCUUGCACUAGAAAAACUUAGCGGCGAACGGGUGAGUAACACGUAACGAACCUGCCUCAUAGACGGGGACAACUAUUGGAAACGAUAGCUAAUACCGGAUAACAGCAUAAAUCGCAUGAUAUAUGUUUGAAAGUUGGUUUCGGCUAACACUAUGAGAUGGCUUUGCGGUGCAUUAGCUAGUUGGUGGGGUAAAGGCCUACCAAGGCGACGAUGCAUAGCCGACCUGAGAGGGUGAUCGGCCACACUGGGACUGAGACACGGCCCAGACUCCUACGGGAGGCAGCAGUAGGGAAUCUUCCGCAAUGGGCGAAAGCCUGACGGAGCAACGCCGCGUGAGUGAAGAAGGAUUUCGGUUCGUAAAGCUCUGUUGUUAGGGAAGAAUGAUUGUAUAGUAACUAUAUACAGUAGAGACGGUACCUAACCAGAAAGCCACGGCUAACUACGUGCCAGCAGCCGCGGUAAUACGUAGGUGGCAAGCGUUGUCCGGAAUUAUUGGGCGUAAAGCGCGCGCAGGUGGUUUAAUAAGUCUGAUGUGAAAGCCCACGGCUCAACCGUGGAGGGUCAUUGGAAACUGUUAAACUUGAGUGCAGGAGAGAAAAGUGGAAUUCCUAGUGUAGCGGUGAAAUGCGUAGAGAUUAGGAGGAACACCAGUGGCGAAGGCGGCUUUUUGGCCUGUAACUGACACUGAGGCGCGAAAGCGUGGGGAGCAAACAGG